AAAGCGGAUCAAGCGGUCGCUCCCAUGUGCCGCCACAAGCGGUCAAAGGGAGAGGAAAGUCCGGACUCCAUAGGACAGGGUGGCUGCUAACGGCGGCCCCGAGCAAUCGGGGGAAAGUGCCACAGAAAAGAUACCGCCCCGUGAAAUAAAUGACCCCAAGGCGUCACCGAAGCGCUCGCAGCUGAGUCCCAUUCCAGUUGCGUGGACUGCCCGCGCAAGCUGGCUAUUUCACGGGGUAAGGGUGAAAAGGCGAGGUAAGAGCUCACCGGUCCGCCAGUGAUGGUGGAUGCUAGGUAAACCCCACCUGGAGCAAGACCAAAUAGGAGGGUUGGGUGGUCCGCCCAAAACUCUCGGGUAAGGUCGCUGGACCCCAUGAGCAAUCAUGGGGCAAGAGGAAUGAUCGCUAGGGCGUCUUAUUAAGGUGCCCCACAGAAUCCGGCUUACGAUCCACUUUAGCC
RNAcentral lists this RNase P RNA (458 nucleotides) under Deltaproteobacteria bacterium. RNAcentral's name for it is "RNase P RNA component class A". It matches the Rfam family "Bacterial RNase P class A". Rfam says of the family: Ribonuclease P (RNase P) is a ubiquitous endoribonuclease, found in archaea, bacteria and eukarya as well as chloroplasts and mitochondria. Its best characterised activity is the generation of mature 5'-ends of tRNAs by cleaving the 5'-leader elements of precursor-tRNAs. Lineage: Bacteria; Pseudomonadati; Myxococcota; Myxococcia. The record is from RNAcentral.